RNAcentral lists this ribosomal RNA (443 nucleotides) under uncultured bacterium. RNAcentral's name for it is "partial 16S ribosomal RNA". It matches the Rfam family "Bacterial small subunit ribosomal RNA", at positions 338 to 795 of the family's 1533-position model. The record is from RNAcentral.
CCUACGGGAGGCAGCAGUGGGGAAUAUUGGGCAAUGGGCGCAAGCCUGACCCAGCAACGCCGCGUGAAGGAAGAAGGCUCUCGGGUUGUAAACUUCUUUUAUCAGGGACGAAGCAAGUGACGGUACCUGAUGAAUAAGCCACGGCUAACUACGUGCCAGCAGCCGCGGUAAUACGUAGGUGGCAAGCGUUAUCCGGAUUUACUGGGUGUAAAGGGCGUGUAGGCGGGAAAGCAAGUCAGAUGUGAAAACCAUGGGCUCAACCUGUGCCCUGCAGUUGAAACUGUUUUUCUUGAGUACUGGAGAGGCAGACGGAAUUCCUAGUGUAGCGGUGAAAUGCGUAGAUAGUAGGAGGAACACCAGUGGCGAAGGCGGUCUGCUGGACAGCAACUGACGCUGAGGCGCGAAAGCGUGGGGAGCAAACAGGAUUAGAUACCCCAGUAGUC